CUCCAAUAGCGUAUAUUAAAGUUGUUGCAGUUAAAAAGCUCGUAGUUGGAUUUCUGGUCGGAGCGACCGGUCGGCGUCCUUUGUGGCGUGUGCACUGUCGUCGGCUCCGUCCAUCCUGGUGAGGAGGCGUGUGGGCAUUCAUUUGUUCGUGCGUGGACUCGCCACGUUUACUGUGAAAAAAUUAGAGUGUUUAAAGCAGG
This 200-nucleotide ribosomal RNA is filed under the name uncultured eukaryote. Its description in RNAcentral is "partial 18S ribosomal RNA". It matches the Rfam family "Eukaryotic small subunit ribosomal RNA", at positions 589 to 784 of the family's 1831-position model. The record is from RNAcentral.